This 301-nucleotide ribosomal RNA is filed under the name uncultured bacterium. RNAcentral's name for it is "partial 16S ribosomal RNA". It matches the Rfam family "Bacterial small subunit ribosomal RNA", at positions 509 to 809 of the family's 1533-position model. The record is from RNAcentral.
CAGCCGCCGCGGUAAUACGUAGGUGGCAAGCGUUGUCCGGAAUUAUUGGGCGUAAAGCGCGCGCAGGCGGAUCAGUCAGUCUGUCUUAAAAGUUCGGGGCUUAACCCCGUGAGGGGAUGGAAACUGCUGAUCUAGAGUAUCGGAGAGGAAAGUGGAAUUCCUAGUGUAGCGGUGAAAUGCGUAGAUAUUAGGAAGAACACCAGUGGCGAAGGCGACUUUCUGGACGAAAACUGACGCUGAGGCGCGAAAGCCAGGGGAGCGAACGGGAUUAGAUACCCGGGUAGUCCCUGUCUCUUAUACA